GCUCCGACUGUCCCAUGGCCAGGCCUCCCGACAGCUCCGCUCGGCCCCGGCCACUGGGCACGGCAGCUGCGGCGGCGACAGACAGCAGACGCCUCUGAAGCUCCAAGUUUCUUCCUAGUUUCGGCCCACCGGAAGUUGCUCUGGGAUUACGUCACUUCCACACGCUGGAGCCAGAUCAGGGGCGGGGCUACGGCUGGUGUCCCCCUUUCCCACUACACGUUGGUGGGCGGGGAAACGCGGCGCUUUCCAGAGGCCCUCCGCGGACGGUCUAUGGCUGCGCUUGCGCUCCGCCUCUUCCGCGCGGUUCGGUCGGAGUGGGACGGAUACCGUAGUGACUUGAAAUCGUGCUGUCACUGCGGAGUGACCCAGUGUCCAAGAUGUGUGAUCCUGGCUGGCCCGAAACAGGCGGUUACAGGCAGUAACAGUUACAGGCUGUCCGACCGAGGGUUCCUCGAGGCCCAACGAGCGCGGGCCGGCACGAGUCCAGGCCGUGAUACAAAAUAUCAUCCAUCCCCACAGCAAGAAGAAAAAUGGCCCUGAAAGAGUCCACUCAAAUCCUACAAACCUAUGAAUAUCACCUUACCUGGCAAAAGGAGCUUUGUAGAUGUGAUUAAAUUAAAUGUCUUGUGAUGAGGCAAUUGUCUGGGAUUAUCUAAGUGAGUUCAGAAGGAAAGAGGACAGUCAAUUAGAGGACAUGGACUGGCAGAAGUAGAGGUCAGAGUGAUGCAAGACCACAAGCCAAGGAAUGUGGGCAGCCUCUAGGAGCUGAAAAAAAAUGGAUUCUCCCUUCCAACCAGUUGAUAUCCUGAACUAUAAGAUAAUAAAUUGGUAUUGUUGAUGUCACUAAGUUUGUAGUAAUUUGUUAUAACAGCAAUACGAAAGUAUAUAACCCCUCGACAAUAAAAUACUCUACUAC
Molecule: long non-coding RNA, 916 nt
Filed under: Fukomys damarensis (Damara mole-rat)
Lineage: Eukaryota; Metazoa; Chordata; Mammalia; Rodentia; Bathyergidae
Description: lncRNA (ENSFDAG00000031454.1)
Source: RNAcentral